CUGCAAAAGACUGCAGUUGUGAAUAAUGGCCUUCUGAACGUGUACGCAGAUAGAUAGAUAGAUAGAUAGAUAGAUAGAUAGAUAGAUAGAUAGAUAGAUAGAUAGAUAGAUAGAUAGAUAGAUAGAUAGAUAGAUCAAAAUGGAAAGCACCAAAGGCCAAAUAGGUGGUCACCUCAAAUAUUUCACACUACCAGCGCUCAGUUUCCUGUAGACGGUCACAUGAGUAAAAAUAGAGUACCUUCCUCUGUAACAGUCUGUGAUGACUUCAGGCAGCACAGGACCAAACUGUACCAUUAGCACAGCUGAACAUAAUGGAUCAACCACUUGAUAUUUAUGCUAAUGUCCAGAGACUCUCAGAUAUUCCCAGCAAGAGGGAAAGGGAGACACAAAUUUCAGAAAAUAUUUAUGAAAAUCUGGAGCCAAAGAGAACAAGAGCUGCAGGUAAUGAACACAUGGUUACUUGUAUGUUUUUGUUUUUUACACACAGGCACACACAAACAGAAUAAACUGUCUAUAGGAAUACCAAUGCUGAUGACUAAGGACACAAUGACUUGUUUGAGAAACAAUAAUUUUGAGAAAGACAGCCAGCCACAAAGACUGUUAAUGGUUUGAACUGAAGAAUUGAAGAAGAACAGAGGGCAUGAAGAAAUUAAGGCUAUGUAAAUGUGUGCUUGAAUAUAUUUAUGUUGACUCAUACAAAUAUAUGUUUUAUACUUUUGGAUGGUUGCAUUUCAAUUGGUGACUUUUGCGCCUUUGAAUAUUAGUAAAACCAUCCAAGCACCCCAAACAUUGCUCUGGCUUUCGAGUUCAGUUCAUGGAUCAUUUCACUGUCUGUAACAUGUUGUAUUAUGAGAAGCGACAAUACAAAGACAAACAUUGCAUCUUUCCUUCAGGUGCUGGAAAGGUAACAAAGAGUUCCUGCAGAGCUGCUGCAGUAUGUCUGGGUCUGCUGUGUAUUCUCCUCGUGAUCGGACUCAUUACUCUGGUUUUCCUAUUUACCAAGAGCAACUCUCAGUGGGAAAUGGAAAUGAUCCAGUUACGGACCAGCUACAACAACCUGACUGAAGAAAAAGACCAACUGACUACAGAAAAAGACCAACUGACUACAGAAAAAGACCGACUGACUACAGAAAAAGACCGACUGACUACAGAAAAAGACCAACUGACUACAGAAAAAGACCGACUGACUACAGAAAAAGACCAACUGACUACAGAAAAAGACCAACUGACUACAGAAAAAGACCAACUGACUACAGAAAAAGACAAACUGACUACAGACCAACUGACUAAAGAAAAUGACAAACUGACUAAAGAAAAAGCUGCAAUAAAACAAGCCCUGACCGACGAUGAGACUGAUCUUCAGAGAAAGCUUUAAGACAGCCAACCAGUCAGCAGACAGAAGAGGAGGAGGAAGAGGAGGAGGAGGAGGACAGUCACUUCCAACAGCACACGCCAUCUUUAAACAGAAACAGGAGAGAUCUGAUUUCCCACCCAAACUAACUGUUAUCAUGUGACCACAAUCUCAUACCUAAAUAAGAUGAUAACAACUAAAUCCUCAUCUGCUGACGAAGGCAAGAUGUGCAAGAGGUGGUUAAAAGCUUCAGAAACAAGUUGGACCUUGUACUGAGGUUUAUGGUUCAAAAACAACGGCAGCUGUGGUCUUGUAUUUCAGACAGGUGAUGAAGAGUUGUCAGAAACCCCCAGUUCAACUUUUAAGUACAUCAUAUAUUUUUUCACCAUUUACUGUUAUAACCUAAGAUGUUGAAACAUUUAGCAACAUUUUUAUAUCAUAUUGCAAUAAUGCAGUUUAUUGCUUUUACUGUUUGUAGAUAUCGUACAACUUAUUAUUGGUAAUGAAAUAUUCAAGCUGUGUACAUUUAGUCUCUGAGUCAUUGUUUGUUUUGUCUUGUUUCCAAAGAGAACAUCUUCACACCAUCUCAAGUUAAAAUAAUGAUGACACCACUGACCUUUACUUGAUAUUUUCAUCUUACUGCAGUGACAAACUGUUUGUUUGUGGUCAGAUCUCUUCCCGUGUCAUAUAGAGUCAUGUAGCUCCUGUUGUAGAGGCAAAUAUAUUCUCUGAAUCACCUUAAAUACUCUUAACCCUUGUGUAGUCUACGGGUCCUUUUAGACCAGAAAUCAUACCAUUAUUAAAGGUUAACUUUCAUAGAAUUGCUUGAAAUUUUCAGGAAUUGUGUCCCUCUGCAUCCUUUAUAAAAAAAAUAAAUUUCAACUUUCUUCAUAAAUUUA
Molecule: long non-coding RNA, 2250 nt
Organism: Dicentrarchus labrax (European seabass)
Lineage: Eukaryota; Metazoa; Chordata; Actinopteri; Moronidae
Exons: 3
Source: RefSeq, a predicted model, not a curated record